RNAcentral lists this ribosomal RNA (1711 nucleotides) under Staphylococcus aureus. RNAcentral's name for it is "partial 23S ribosomal RNA". It matches the Rfam family "Bacterial large subunit ribosomal RNA", at positions 1248 to 2925 of the family's 2925-position model. The record is from RNAcentral. Lineage: Bacteria; Bacillati; Bacillota; Bacilli; Caryophanales; Staphylococcaceae.
CUGCGAAGGUGACCUGUGAGGGUUGCUGGAGGUAUCAGAAGUGCGAAUGCUGACAUAAGUAACGAUAAAGCGGGUGAAAAGCCCGCUCGCCGGAAGACCAAGGGUUCCUGUCCAACGUUAAUCGGGGCAGGGUGAGUCGACCCCUAAGGCGAGGCCGAAAGGCGUAGUCGAUGGGAAACGGGUUAAUAUUCCCGUACUUGGUGUUACUGCGAAGGGGGGACGGAGAAGGCUAUGUUGGCCGGGCGACGGUUGUCCCGGUUUAAGCGUGUAGGUGUGUGUUCCAGGUAAAUCCGGUUCACUUUAACACUGAGGCGUGACGACGAGGCACUACGGUGCUGAAGCAACAAAUGCCCUGCUUCCAGGAAAAGCCUCUAAGCAUCAGGUAACACGAAAUCGUACCCCAAACCGACACAGGUGGUCAGGUAGAGAAUACCAAGGCGCUUGAGAGAACUCGGGUGAAGGAACUAGGCAAAAUGGUGCCGUAACUUCGGGAGAAGGCACGCUGACACGUAGGUGAAGUGAUUUACUCAUGGAGCUGAAGUCAGUCGAAGAUACCAGCUGGCUGCAACUGUUUAUUAAAAACACAGCACUGUGCAAACACGAAAGUGGACGUAUACGGUGUGACGCCUGCCCGGUGCCGGAAGGUUAAUUGAUGGGGUCAGCGCAAGCGAAGCUCCUGAUCGAAGCCCCGGUAAACGGCGGCCGUAACUAUAACGGUCCUAAGGUAGCGAAAUUCCUUGUCGGGUAAGUUCCGACCUGCACGAAUGGCGUAAUGAUGGCCAGGCUGUCUCCACCCGAGACUCAGUGAAAUUGAACUCGCUGUGAAGAUGCAGUGUACCCGCGGCAAGACGGAAAGACCCCGUGAACCUUUACUAUAGCUUGACACUGAACAUUGAGCCUUGAUGUGUAGGAUAGGUGGGAGGCUUUGAAGUGUGGACGCCAGUCUGCAUGGAGCCGACCUUGAAAUACCACCCUUUAAUGUUUGAUGUUCUAACGUGGACCCGUAAUCCGGGUUGCGGACAGUGUCUGGUGGGUAGUUUGACUGGGGCGGUCUCCUCCUAAAGAGUAACGGAGGAGCACGAAGGUUGGCUAAUCCUGGUCGGACAUCAGGAGGUUAGUGCAAUGGCAUAAGCCAGCUUGACUGCGAGCGUGACGGCGCGAGCAGGUGCGAAAGCAGGUCAUAGUGAUCCGGUGGUUCUGAAUGGAAGGGCCAUCGCUCAACGGAUAAAAGGUACUCCGGGGAUAACAGGCUGAUACCGCCCAAGAGUUCAUAUCGACGGCGGUGUUUGGCACCUCGAUGUCGGCUCAUCACAUCCUGGGGCUGAAGUAGGUCCCAAGGGUAUGGCUGUUCGCCAUUUAAAGUGGUACGCGAGCUGGGUUUAGAACGUCGUGAGACAGUUCGGUCCCUAUCUGCCGUGGGCGCUGGAGAACUGAGGGGGGCUGCUCCUAGUACGAGAGGACCGGAGUGGACGCAUCACUGGUGUUCGGGUUGUCAUGCCAAUGGCACUGCCCGGUAGCUAAAUGCGGAAGAGAUAAGUGCUGAAAGCAUCUAAGCACGAAACUUGCCCCGAGAUGAGUUCUCCCUGAGACUUAGAGUCUCCUGAAGGAACGUUGAAGACGACGACGUUGAUAGGCCGGGUGUGUAAGCGCAGCGAUGCGUUGAGCUAACCGGUACUAAUGAACCGUGAGGCUUAACCUUACAACGCCGAAG